RNAcentral lists this ribosomal RNA (383 nucleotides) under Homonota darwinii (Darwin's marked gecko). Its description in RNAcentral is "partial 12S ribosomal RNA". It matches the Rfam family "Bacterial small subunit ribosomal RNA", at positions 793 to 1373 of the family's 1533-position model. The record is from RNAcentral. Lineage: Eukaryota; Metazoa; Chordata; Lepidosauria; Squamata; Phyllodactylidae.
UACUCAGUUGUGAACCAAGAGGGUUUAACCAUACCACCCUCUGCCAGAGAACUACAAGUGAAAAACUUGAAACUCUAAGGACUUGACGGUGCCCCACACCAACCUAGAGGAGCCUGUCCUAUAAUCGAUACUCCACGCUAUACCCUACCCCCCCUCGCCCCACAGCCUAUAUACCGCCGUCGCCAGCCCACCUACUGAUAGCACCAAUAGUCGGCAUAACAGCACCCCACGCAAGCACGUCAGGUCAAGGUGUAGCUAAUGGGGGGGCUGAGAUGGGCUACAUUUGCUGCUCAAUAGCAAAUAACCAAGGCCACAUGAAACCGCUGGCUAACAGGCGGAUUUAGCAGUAAACAGGGCAAGAUCUGCCCACUUGAACCCCGCUC